This 2002-nucleotide long non-coding RNA is filed under the name Callithrix jacchus (white-tufted-ear marmoset). RNAcentral describes it as "lncRNA (ENSCJAG00000076071.1)". Lineage: Eukaryota; Metazoa; Chordata; Mammalia; Primates; Cebidae. The record is from RNAcentral.
UCUUUGAUAGUAUUUCAUAAGUAAACUAAUCAAGUUGUUCUGGCUUUUGGUCUUUCAUGAGGUUGCAGUCAAGAUUUUGGCUGAGUUGCAUUUCUACCCUCAGAUUAAGCAACAGGAACUGUUCUAAGCUUACUCAUGUGGCUACUUGUAGAAGAUUUUACUUUCUUUCCAUGUAGGUCAAACCAUAGGGCUUUCCCAAGAUCAAGUUGUCUAAAAGAGACUUUUUCGAAAUUGAAUGAUUUAAGAGAGAGAGACAGAGGAAUCAAGAGACAAGAUCACUUCAUCUCCCUUUGAUUUGAUUCUCUUACCGACUUGGCACACCUUGUAGAUGCUUCACUUCUUACUAAUGGCAACUGCUAGCUAUUGACCAAAUAUGACAUGACUAGUGAAUCAAAACUUUUUACAUCAUUAUAGUUCAGUAUUGGUAAGUGCAGUUUUAUGUGCUAUAAAUUUGGUCUGCAAAUGACAUUUGAACUGUAGUGACCAACAAGAACAAAAAUCAUAAUUUAAAUGUCCAACAAUACAAUCAAAGUUUACAUAUCUCAUAAUAUUGUUGGGUAAAAUAAUUUUACUGAUUUAGAAUUAAAUGAAGAAGAUAGUUCACAAAUAUUCCUGUACUUAAUGGAUUUCUCUGUUCUUUCACUGGUAUUUUUAUUUUACUUUGUAACAAAAUUGCAAAAAUGAAAUUAAUCUUAUGUAGUAAAUAUUUGACCAGUGAAUAAACAAGCCAAAUAAGAUACUGAUUUUAUUUACAUGUAUUUUUUUGUUGUUUAGCUGUUGCAUUUGUCAAGCACACCUGUAAGGACAGUAAUUGCUCUUUAUCCUGCUUUGUCAGUUGGCAGUAGCAGAAAACAGAUAAUAUUGUGUAUUAUGUUCACCGUUUUUAAUUUACUUUUAUGACCUAGAACACUUAUGGACUUACUUUUUUUUCUAUAGGUUGCUUUUAUAAAACAACUUUCCAAAAGAUAUGCACCUGUAGCAAAAAAUAAAAUAGAUUUGUGAAAUGUGAAUUAUUAGGAAAUAUGGAUAGUCAGAAGAUGGAUAAGUUUUAAGAAAUAUUAUGAGAAUAUAAACUAAACAAAUUUGAAAAAUUCAGGAUAUCUUAUGGCUUUUCUUAUUUUUGCCAAGGCCUCAAAAGUGAUGUACUCAUUCUAUACAGGAUACCCUAGUAGAAACCAGGGAAAACAUAAAAUACAGAGCUGUGUAUUGAGAAUUUAUCAAAUUCUUAUUUGGAUAUAGGUCUUUUUAUUUUUUUGGCUAGAGCAUAUGACUACAUAGUUAUUUAUAUGCAUGGAGUAGUUCUGUUCUUUCUUACUGGCUCCCUUUCCCAUUCUCUUCAGUGGUUGUAUUAUAUAUUUACUCCUAUCCUUGAAUCCUUGGCCUGCCUUUGACUGAAACUUUCGCUUUGACCUUGUAUAUGCUCAGUCUUCUUUACUCAGAAAGUGGACAGAAAGGUGGUAUAUUUUAGCUGCUGCUUUCUCCUCUGCUAGCACAGACACAUAACAGUAAUCUAUACCCAUUGUUUCACUCUUAUGCCUUUCAGUGAGUAUUUUCUUUUCUUUUAGUAGGCUUUAUCUUUUAGAGCAGUUUUUGAUUCACAACAACAACAAAGAAAACUAGGUGGCAAAGAAAUUUCCCAUAUAUGUAUUGUGUACACAUGUACACAGCCUUCCCCAUUACCAACAUCCCCAGAGUAGCACAUUUGUUACAACUGAUGAAUCUACAUUGACAUAUCAUUAUCACCCAAAGACCAUAGUUCACAUCGAGGUUCACUUUUGGUAUUGUACAUUCUGUGGAUUUGCACAAAUUUAUAUGACAUUGUAUACCAUUAUAGUAUCAUAUGUAGUAGUUUUGCCACCCUAUAAGUCCUCUGUGCUUUGCCUGUUCAUCCGUCCCUUCCCAUAACUCCUGAAAACCAUGGAUCAUUUUACGGCCUCCAUAGUCUUGUCCUGUUUAGAAUUUGACAUAGUAAAAAUUACAUAGUAUGUAGACUUUUCAGGCU